GACGAACGCUGGCGGCGUGCUUAACACAUGCGAGUCGAACGGAAAGGCCCUGCUUGCAGGGUGCUCGAGUGGCGAACGGGUGAGUAACACGUGGGUGAUCUGCCCCUUAUUUUGGGAUAAGCCUGGGAAACUGGGUCUAAUACUGGAUAGGACCAUGCUGUAGGUGGUGUGGUGGAAAGAUUAGUUUCGGUAAGGGAUGAGCUCGCGGCCUAUCAGCUUGUUGGUGGGGUAAUGGCCUACCAAGGCGUCGACGGGUAGCCGGCCUGAGAGGGUGGACGGCCACAUUGGGACUGGGAUGCGGCCCAGAAUCCUACGGGAGGCAGCAGUGGGGAAGAUUGCACAAUGAGCGCAGGCCUGAUGCAGCGACGCCGCGUGGGGGAUGACGGCCUUCGGGUUGUAAACUCCUUUCAGCCAUGACGAAGCCCUUGUGGUGACGGUAGUGGUAGAAGAAGCACCGGCUAACUACGUG
Molecule: ribosomal RNA, 469 nt
Filed under: uncultured bacterium
Lineage: Bacteria
Description: partial 16S ribosomal RNA
Rfam family: Bacterial small subunit ribosomal RNA
Source: RNAcentral